This 63-nucleotide microRNA precursor is filed under the name Rattus norvegicus (Norway rat). Its description in RNAcentral is "microRNA rno-mir-3587 precursor". Lineage: Eukaryota; Metazoa; Chordata; Mammalia; Rodentia; Muridae. The record is from miRBase by way of RNAcentral.
UUGUGUGGUCGGCAGCGAAGUUGUUCUCCACCAAGAACACUGAUUUCAAAUGGUGCUAGACAA